CUCUGUAUGUAUCUGGCAUGUACCCAGUUACUUGUGUGGACAAUGAUGCCAAAUGUCCUAAAUCUACAGCUAAAAGGGACCUCAGAAGCCAUUGAAUCCAAUAUCCUCAUUUUUUCAGACUAAAGAUCUGAAAUGACUUCAAUGGUUUCUCAUAUUGCAUCAUCGCAAAUCCCCUCAUGAUUCAUGUCAUUCUCCCCCGGCAUCAGUUUACCAACAUCCGUACUAAACCAGAAUGGAAACGGGAACUCGAUGCCCUGUCACUAUUGUGAUAUUUGAACCAUCUCCACGCUAUCCACUGGCAGGACCGCCCAGGUAUCCAGUACCAAAGACCUGGAGAAGUCACAGAGAAGCUGGAAUCAUCUGGAAGCCAGAUGCCGGAGCAAGGAGAGUGUCUUUCUUCUGGAUCAUUGAUUGCCUUCCUCCAGCUGCUGAACUUGGAGAUCAUUGCUAAACCCACAAUCCUAUUGUUUCUU
Long non-coding RNA from Vombatus ursinus (common wombat), 473 nucleotides. RefSeq lists it as uncharacterized. Lineage: Eukaryota; Metazoa; Chordata; Mammalia; Diprotodontia; Vombatidae. The transcript is spliced from 3 exons. The record is from RefSeq and is a predicted model, not a curated record.